Molecule: non-coding RNA, 80 nt
Filed under: alpha proteobacterium IMCC14465
Lineage: Bacteria; Pseudomonadati; Pseudomonadota; Alphaproteobacteria
Description: Alpha-proteobacteria SAM riboswitch aptamer
Rfam family: Alpha-proteobacteria SAM riboswitch aptamer
About the family: This family is a riboswitch found predominantly in alpha-proteobacteria that binds S-adenosyl methionine (SAM). This SAM riboswitch is located upstream of the metA and metC genes in Agrobacterium tumefaciens, and other methionine and SAM biosynthesis genes in other alpha-proteobacteria. Like the other SAM riboswitch, it probably functions to turn off expression of these genes in response to elevated SAM levels.
Source: Rfam by way of RNAcentral
GGUCAUGAGUGUGGUGAUUUGAGCCGGUCGGCUUGCAGCCACGUUAAAUAAAUGGCUAAAAAGACCGGGAGACAGCCCGG